This 505-nucleotide ribosomal RNA is filed under the name uncultured bacterium. Its description in RNAcentral is "partial 16S ribosomal RNA". It matches the Rfam family "Bacterial small subunit ribosomal RNA", at positions 28 to 507 of the family's 1533-position model. The record is from RNAcentral.
GACGAACGCUGGCGGCGUGCCUAAUACAUGCAAGUAGAACGCACAGUCUAUACCGUAGCUUGCUGCACCAUAGACUGUGAGUUGCGAACGGGUGAGUAACGCGUAGGUAACCUGCCUGGUAGCGGGGGAUAACUAUUGGAAACGAUAGCUAAUACCGCAUCAUAUUAAUUAUUGCAUGAUAAUUGAUUGAAAGAUGCAAUUGCAUCACUACCAGAUGGACCUGCGUUGUAUUAGAUAGUAGGCGAGGUAACGGCGCACCUAGGCGACGAUACAUAGCCGACCUGAGAGGGUGAUCAGCCACACUGAGAGUGAGACACGGCCCAGACGGCUACGGGAGGCAGCAGGAGGGAAUCGUCGGCAAUGGACGAGAGUCUGACCGAGCAACGCCGCGGGAGUGAAGAAGGUUGUCGGAUCGGAAAGCUCGGUUGUAAGGGAAGAACGGGUGUGAGAGUGGAAAGUACACACUGUGACGGUAUCUUACCAGAAAGCGACGGCUAACUACGUG